CUCCCUUUUCUCCUCCUCCUGCUCUUCCCCCUCCCCAAACUCCCUCCCUCCGCCCGGUUCCCCGCGCAGCCGUGGGAUCUCGGAGGAGGGCGUCCAUUAGGCCGCGUGUGACCAUGUAAGAAAUUGCCACAGCCACUCCAGCCUUCAGCAACCCACUCUGAUCAGUCAGCAGCCAUUGACACUGAGGAAAGACCUUCUACCAGGAAAAAGAUUAUGACUUGCUGAAAGUUCAGAUGAUAGUUACCAAUUUUUAGUAGCAAAAUAUUUUAAAAUUAAGAUCAUAGAAACUGAAAUUUCUCUUCCUCAAAGCAAGCCAUAAAACUAACAAAGUCAUUCUCUGACCUCCGGCCUUUUGACCUGAAGACCUUCAUGUGACAGGUGUUCUGCCCCUCUCUAGAGGCCAAAGAGAAUCUGAACAAACAGGCCUUGCUAAGUUUCCAGUUUAUUACCAUUAGGCCAUACCUCCUUUGUAUCCAGUCCUCCUUCAGCAUGACUGUUCAUCCUUCAUCACACCUAAGCAUUAAAAUACUGUUUUCCCUGGGUCUUUGUGUCUUCAUUUUUGAAGGCUCCCCUGUCAUGUAAAACUUUGAUUAAAUAAAUUUGUGAUACUUUUCUCUUGUUAAACUGUCUUUUGUUAUCGGAGUGUCAGCCAUAAACCU
Molecule: RNA transcript, 659 nt
Organism: Chlorocebus sabaeus (green monkey)
Lineage: Eukaryota; Metazoa; Chordata; Mammalia; Primates; Cercopithecidae
Source: RefSeq, a predicted model, not a curated record